UUAUGGCCACAUCACAUUGAAACACCAGUUACCGUACGAACACUGAAAUAAAGCAACGUCGAGCCUUGUCAAUACCUACAUGGGUGACCGCUUGGGAAUACCAAAUGCUGUAA
Molecule: non-coding RNA, 113 nt
Organism: Acanthosepion pharaonis
Lineage: Eukaryota; Metazoa; Mollusca; Cephalopoda; Sepiida; Sepiidae
Source: the annotation of a GenBank genome assembly